RNAcentral lists this ribosomal RNA (447 nucleotides) under uncultured bacterium. RNAcentral's name for it is "bacterial SSU rRNA". It matches the Rfam family "Bacterial small subunit ribosomal RNA", at positions 329 to 792 of the family's 1533-position model. The record is from RNAcentral.
UUCCAGACUCCUACGGGAGGCAGCAGUGGGGAAUAUUGCACAAUGGGGGAAACCCUGAUGCAGCGACGCCGCGUGAGUGAAGAAGUAUUUCGGUAUGUAAAGCUCUAUCAGCAGGGAAGAAAAAAGACGGUACCUGACUAAGAAGCCCCGGCUAACUACGUGCCAGCAGCCGCGGUAAUACGUAUGGUGCAAGCGUUAUCCGGAAUGACUGGGUGUAAGGGGAGCGUAGACGGUUGUACAAGUCUGAUGUGAAAGCCCACGGCUCAACUGUGGGAGUGCAUUGGAAACUGUAGAACUAGAGUAUCGGAGAGGCAAGUGGAAUUCCUAGUGUAGCGGUGAAAUGCGUAGAUAUUAGGAGGAACACCAGUGGCGAAGGCGGCUUGCUGGACGAAAACUGACGUUGAGGCUCGAAAGCGUGGGGAGCAAACAGGAUUAGAUACCCCCGUA